GCAACGCGAAGAACUUACCUGGUCUUGACAUCCCGGAGACCCUUAGGAAACUAGGGGUGCUUCCAUCUGGAAGAAUCUGGAGACAGGUGCUGCAUGGCUGUCGUCAGCUCGUGUCGUGAGAUGUUGGGUUAAGUCCCGCAACGAGCGCAACCCUUGCCUUUAGUUGCCAGCAGUUCGGCUGGGCACUCUAAAGGGACUGCCGGUGUUAAACCGGAGGAAGGUGGGGAUGACGUCAAGUCCUCAUGGCCUUUAUGACCAGGGCUACACACGUACUACAAUGGCCGAUACAAAGGGCAGCGACACUGCGAGGUGAAGCCAAUCCCGUAAAAUCGGUCUCAGUCCGGAUUGGAGUCUGCAACUCGACUCCAUGAAGUUGGAAUCGCUAGUAAUCGUGGAUCAGCAUGCCACGGUGAAUACGUUCCCGGGCCUU
Molecule: ribosomal RNA, 430 nt
Filed under: uncultured Desulfobulbus sp.
Lineage: Bacteria; Pseudomonadati; Thermodesulfobacteriota; Desulfobulbia; Desulfobulbales; Desulfobulbaceae
Description: bacterial SSU rRNA
Rfam family: Bacterial small subunit ribosomal RNA
Source: RNAcentral